AAAAAAACCCGGACGCACGCACGAAAGGAAAACCGUCCUUGUUCGUUCCGCGGCCGCCGCCACACCCGUUGGUCGUCUCCUCUCCCUCCUCCUCGCGACCUCACGUGGUCGCCUCCCCUCUCCUCCGCCAACUCCCGACUCCAAACCUCCCGAUCCGCCGCCGCAACCAACUCCCGAUCCGCCGCACGUCGCAGCCCGGGACGCCGCCGCCGCGUGCUCCGUCGAGGAGAACGCCGCCUACCCCAUGGAUGCCACCGACGAGGAUGCAUCCUCCACUGCCUCGCAUCUCGCUCUCCCCUCUGUCACCACAGGCGAGGCCAUGCCGCCGUUGCCGCUGCCGUCCAUCGCAGCCUGGGAGCCGCUGCCUCCGUCCUCUGCCGCGGACGCCGCCCUCUCCCUCCCUAGACGCAGACGCCGAAGCAGACCUUUGUUUUGGAUAUUCAAUUGCUUGACAUGUACAAGUACUGGAAAAGUUGGAAGCAGGUGGACAAGAGAAGCCGACAUUUAAUCCCAAUAAUUUUCAGUGCAUUGCAGAGCUUAGCCGAUUAUUUCAAACCACCGAUGUCGUUCAGUCGUUGUCAGUUCGAUUCUACGUGAGCUUGCAGCUUCACUUUUAUUUAGCAUUGGCAUUAUAUUUCCAAGAAUGAUGUUUUCUUAGGCCGAAAUCCGCAAAGAACUCCCACUAGAAGUUAGUGUCAUAUUUUUACUUAUUUUCAGUUGGACUCUUGCUUUUUAGGUUGAGAUUUUUUGAAGAACUAUUCUUUAAUCUAAUGAUUGGCAGAUUCUACAGUGAGGCAAUUGAGUGCAGAGUUUGGAGAUCAUCAGGUUACAGCCUGUUAUUUUUCUAGAAAUUUAAUUGACUUUUUAGGUGCUCCAUCUUGAGUAGUAGAGACGUCAUCCGGAUCUCCUGCCAAUAAAUUUGUGGAUAUCAACUUUUUAUAUGUUUGUAUUUCCCACUACAAAACUUCUUUUUGACAGCCAGCUGAAUCAAGAACUUAUCAUUUACGCUCUUAGAGAUAGUUCGGCUGAAUCAAGAACUUUUUUUUUGACAGCCAACUGAAUCAAGAACUUGUCAGAUUUGAGGCCCAGGAGUAAAAUUUCAGAGUUGGAAUGUGAGGAUUGUGCAUUGCUUUUGUGUCGAUUGUAUUUUUGUUGUCUGCCCGCAUUGUCACAAGAGUAAUGCCUCUUUAUAUGAUAUAAACAGUAAUUAGACGUCAAUUCUUUUGCUUUUGUCAUUCUUAUGAAGUGAUAGAUUAUUUGUAUAUCCGUUGCGACGCAUGGUCACUUAGCCAGUACUUCAUGGUGUUGGACUCGGUUGUCAACACCCCACCGCACAGCACCAGCUUCCUUCCUUGAGAAGCAAGGCCGGAACACUGACGCCGGCGGCCUUGCUGCGCCGUCCUCCCGUACACUCCUCUCGCGUGCCCACCGCCGCCACCGCCAGCCCAUCUCCAUCCAAGAAUCAACCGCAGCCUUUCUCCGAACAGCCGGCCUUCAGGUGCCUAACAACGUCGUUGUUGCUGGAGCUCUUCUUUUUGGGCUCAGGUCGCUGGCCGGUCGACGCAGCGUUGCUGCACCAUCGAGGGCUGCAGGUAUCGGACAAAAUCCCCUAAAUUUAUCAGCACUUUAGCUCCAGCCUCCAGGCACGACACUGUUUUGCUAUGCCAAGACACUAUUUUGCUUGCUGAAUUUUGCACCAUUCUCCCUGGAAGUGUUUGCUAUGCCAAGUCACAGCCUUGGGUAGAUUUUUAUACUGCUUGUUGUCAUCUUUUGCAAAAUAAAUGAUAAUUGAGAAUGUAUGAAUAUUUUACUUCAUAUUAUCAAGUUUUAACACAAAGAACUAGGUCUCAGGAAACCAUCAGGCCAGUUGUUGUCUCCCUGUUCUAGUGUACCAACCCCACAGGCCUAAGACUUAAAACUAAAUGGUACAUGAUAGAGUUAGAUGACUCCAUUAGAUAAAUGAAUCAGAACCUAGUAUUCAUAUAUUAAUCCUGCUACAAAAGUUACUUAUUCUAGUAUUAGCGAGCUGAAAUCUGAAAGUUGUGUCUCUGUUCAUGAUUAUAUUCUGUGAGGAAUGGUUGCUUAUAUUCAAAUCUGAAGUCGUGUCUCUGUUCUAAAUAUCAUGUUGACGCACUCGACCUAUUCACUUCAAUAUUGUGUUGUGCAGUGUAGAAAUAUACCCUAUAUACUUGUGGUUUUUUAAGUAAUUAUUUUUGGAAUCAUGAACUUCUCUAAUAAGAGGUCAGACCAUGGGUUAAUAGUUCUUGUCUAAGGACAUUCAGACUAAAUAGGUGUAGCUUGAUUAUUAGUAUUACAAUGGGUGGACUGGUUCUUGGAACCUGAAGAAAUGCUUGUGCAGCCAACAUGGCUGUCUACAGGAGGCUUUUCCAAGUAUAUAUAUGAACACCUGAGGGCCAGUUCUUUUCGGCUUCCUGGACUGGCUUCUCCGAGAAGCUGCCCUCCCCCAACUUCCUGGAGAAGCCACCACCUAAAUUUGAUUAGGCUACCAAACUAGUUUGGCCUAAACUACUUUGAGUGCAUAGCUGCCCUGUUUGUUUGGGCUUCUGCUUCAGCUUUUGGUGCUUCUAGCUCUCUAAAAGCACUUCUUCCAUUUACACAUGAAGCUGAGAAGCACGUCCGGAGGUGCUUCCUGCAGCUUCUGGAGGGAAGCACCAAAUAUGUCAAUCUGUUAGUCUAUGUAACUUUUCAGAUCAAUUAGUGAUUCUUAAUCCUGAUAAGGGGCUUUCUGUUUACUCAACUUACAAUGCUCUGAAACCAAAAUAAUAGGUUAAAGUUCUCCUGUUGCUGAUGGCUGCUUAGGAACAUCACACCAUUUUAGCCUUAGACAAUCUUUUGAAAAGAGGGUGGGAUAGUGGCUAUUAUUCUGAGUUGUCAUUCUUGCAGGCAACAAGAGAACUGAAAACAUCACUCAUUUGUUGUUCCUCUUUUUUUGGUACAAACACUCAUUUGUUCAUGUGAAGUAUACGGGGACUGUUGUGGCUUGUUCUUUUGAUAUGCACAACAUUCUUGAGAUUUUGUCAUCAGCUGAUCCGUGAUCCUGUUUAUCUCUUUCCGAAACAGUGUCAUAGACUGAUCAUGGUUGGUUCUGCCAGCUAUAUUUUGAGCCGUGUGGAAAGUUAGGGAUAGAGCAUGUUAUCACAAUAUGUAGCUGGUGGAUCCUUCAUUACUGAUUUAUCAAAUGUAUAAGUAUAACUUCGAGGUGUUACAGCAGGGGAGCAGGGUGUUGCGGCAGCUAACAACAUGGCUUCUAUCAGCAUUGAGGAUGGAGUCCUAGCACUGCAUUUGGAGGCACCAUAGGCUUACAGUUCUCCAGUCCGUUUGAGAGGUGUUGCUUAGAGUUAGCUAAUAGUCAGAGUUUUGCUGCUUUAUAUGAUACUCCCUCUGUUCCCUUUUAUAAGCAGUUUUGGCAAGUCAUUUUGGCUUGCCAAAACGUCUUAUAAAAAGAAAUUGUGGUUAUACUAUGGUAGGGAGCUUGAUAUGUGAACCUGGACAGCAGUUUGACUUCCCAUCUAUUAUAUACUAAAAGUACAUGAUGGAGCAACCAGAAAAAAGAAAGACCUCAUAGAAAAUCUCACAAAAAAGCAAAACAUCUGGCCAUCUAUUUUAGUCUAUGAAAACCGCAGCCGUUCGAUCGUGGUAAUAGGGUUUUGUUCAAAGUUCAGGGAAUUUACCCACAUGUGCCACGCGUGAAGUAAAACCACGCCCUUCCCCUGACCUGCCUAACCUCCAGCCCCGAUCCGCUCCUCUGCUCCGCGGUCAUGGCCAGGCGAUCGAUUUGCAGGUAGGACGCCCCCCAAGUCUUCUCCCUCCGUUCCUCUGCUGCGGCACCAUAUCUCUGACCGGGCAGUCCUCUUCUACGACGUCACGUAAUCCAUGACUCCAGGCUCCAGGAUCUUCCUCGAAGGACAGACGGAAGUUGCCACUCGAUCCAUAGCAGGGGACAGGUUACAGGAUCUUCCUCGAAGGACAGACGGAAGUUGCCACUCAAUCCAUAGCAGGGGACAGGCUCCAGGAUCUUCCUCGAAGGACAGACAGAAGUUGCCACUCGAUCCAUAGCAGGGGACGAACGGCCGUUCAUGUGUUCUGUUGUUGCAGACAUGCAAGUAAUCCAUCAAGUUCUUUAUUUCUUUCUCAUAUAUAUGAACUCUAAUUAAAUUUGAUUCCUUCUGAGUUGAUAUUUGAUCCCUUCUGUCAUUCUGUGUACGUGUAUUGAUGCAAAAUAGUGUUACCUUGAUUCAAUUUACUUUCAUCUAUGUUCUAUCCUCCUAUGUUGCCGUGGUCUAUAGAUAUAGUAUGUUUUUUCAUACUGGUCACAUAUAUUCACCCAAUGCAUACUUUAACUCGGAUUCCUUCCACCAAUAGCUUAUAUGCACAAAAAAAGGGGAAGCCUGAUUUUUUCUCCAUGUAGUGUUACAGUUUUGCAGCCUUGGUAGAAUGAUUUCAUUGUAUUCUAUGAAUUUUCUGCCAUACUACUUACGCUAGGGAAUACAUUGCAUCACUUUUGGCUGGAGGAUACACAAUAGCUGCAUGUCAGGGCUAUUACGAGGAUUCUAAACCAACAUACCUAUACAGUCUAUAUUGUUUAGCACGGUAGAUUGAUUUCAUUUAUGAAUAGAGGCAUGCAUACCAUUACAUGUACGGACUGCAUGCUAGCUCUGCAAGUAAUAGUACUGUGGUUCACGUUUUUAGCUUACAAAUUGUUUAUUGUGUUAUCCACUUCAGAGGUGGAUCGGCGUGAGAUUAUUAUGUAUCAUGCAGACGGAACACAAAGCAAGAACUUCAGAAAGCAAUUUAUGAUCCUUCCAUAGGAGUCCACUGCAUGUUUUUCCUUUAUUUUCUGACCUGCAGGUACACUGUUAAUAUGAAGCCAAAUACUUAUCAUAUAUAUUCUGAACCACCCCCUUAAGUUUGGAAAUUAUGAAAGGUAUGUGGGACAUGCACUGAUGGUUCAUGGUGACAGACAUCAGAGGCGCAAUAAUUUAUUAUGUUGUCUCCAGUUGCAUUUAGAUUGAUGCAACUUCUUACUACAAAUUAAUGUCCAUGUCUCCAACUGAUAUAGCCACUACAACAUCAGCGAUACAAACUGAGUCAGGGAUUCUAUAUAAACGUCAGCAGCAUGCAAAAAUUACUAUGUUAGAUUAUCACACCUUUUGUUUCAAGAGCAAUUGUUUUUUAUUCCCAUAGCAAAUCACAUGGUAUACACUGAAAUCUAUUACUCCCUCCGUCCAACAAAAGAUGUCUCAAGUUUGUCAAAAUUUGGGUGUAUCUAGACAUGACUUAGUGUAUAGAUGCAUUCAAAUUUAGUCAAAGUUGAGACAUCCUUUAUUGGACGGAGGGAGUAUAUGAUUAUUCACCUUUAAGAGACAGUUGCCAAAGGGUGUGGUUAGCAUAUAUCAGAAUGGCAGCAUCAAAAUAUAUGCCCUGGUUAUUAUAGUUUUUCUUAACAGUUUUACAAACUAUAUAGCUCAAAAUUUUCUGCUGCUUCUCUUAAAUUUCUGUAAGGAAAGUACAUUCAUGUUGUCCUAUGUUUCCCUCAUAAUUCAACCACCCACAGCUGGUAGUAUAAUUCAGAUCUGUUAUUAUACAACUUACCUUAUUUUUCUUAUGUUCUUAUAGUUUGUGUUUGCUGGGGAAGAUUCCCUAAAGUUGUUAUAAAACCUACAGAGAUAUUUUUCUGAUGCAGGUGUUGUCUGCAAAGGAGUCCAUCAAAUUCCUACAGGACGUUACAUACUCAGAUUUACUUCCUGAGUACAUGUUAAUCUGUUUUACCAGUUUAUUAAGAAUAGAUGUUAUUUUAUUCAUAAUUUGCAAUUAGCACCAAUAUAGCUUCUAUCAUUCUAACUUACUAUAUAAUUUUCAUAAGAGGUUCACAUGCCUUUACUAUGGUUUUCAUGUUCCCAAAAGAUGACUAAAUAUGUUUUAUUUCAAUACCCUGCCACAUGGUCGUCUGCACCAACAAAGCAGAGCCCGGGGGCUUCCCUCCUUUUAAAAAAAAAAUCUGUGGCAAUGGAAGAAAGGAGCAUGUUAUGUACAUGCUUAAUUAUCAUCUUUUUCAGUGAGAAAACAAGGCUAUUCAGUGGGUGCAUUCUUGCCGAUCUUGAAGAUUACACAGUUUCUUCACUCCUUUGCUUUCUACAGAUUUUUUGGUCAAUUUAUGAUUUAUGGUUGAUUGUGUUCAUAAUCUACUCAUACUGACAUUUCCUUAAAAGAUAUUUCAGUUUUACUUCUUGAUAGAUACGGUCUUUAUAUUUCACUGGAUAUGGAACAUAUAUAUUUUCCUAUAUAGGACCAUUGAAAUUUAUCUAUAUUGUUUGAUAUCCUAAAACUUUAAACAGAAGGUUAUUUUGCAAGAAAAAAAUUCAUGCUCAGUUUUCCAUGUUUAUUGGAUUGUUGACAGCUUCUGAUGUUCUUUUGUGUGGAUUAGUCUAUGGCAACAUAUCGUGCUCUGAUUGACGAGCCGUUGAAAAGCAUGCAACCAACCAAAUGAAAUAUUGAAAGGUACUCUAGGUUGCCCUGCAAGACUACUAUUGCAUAGAUCAGUUUUUAUUUAGUAAUAGCUUCUACUGAUCCUCUAUAAUUUGUGAGAACAGCAAUAGUUGAUCCUUUCACAGUUCCUUAAAAUUUGGAGUUGUGAACAGCAAUAGCUGAUCACUAUAUUGAGUACCAGCUCAUGGUUCUUCCUAGCUUUUGAUCCUUUGUUGAAAACAGUACCAAGUAGAACAACAACUUGUAUAUGAUUGAUUAAUGAAGUAAUUAGGUUAUUCAUCCAAAUACCAUUCAAAGUUGACAUAGUUAUCAUGAUCGUUCAAAAAAUAUGCAAUAAUGCAGUUUUGGUCACAUUUGCUGUGGUCUGAUUUUUACCCCUCGGGUGUAUGUCAGGCAAUAUUAAAUAAAUUGGGAAUUAGUUCACUUUGGGAAACAAAUUAUGGAUAUCAUGAUAUAACAUUUCGAUAACAUGUAUCCUUGCAAAAUGUUCUCAAAGAAAUUAAUGGUAGGGCCAUCGAUGAUUGCAUCACGGUAGUUUACGUAGAAACUACGAUCUAUGAUUGUCGAUCUUCCGCGGAAACUAUGAUCUAUGAUUGUCAAUCUUCCGCGGCAAACAUCAAAUGUAACAGUUUGCCUGGUCUCCGUUCUGCACUCUAUCCCUCAUACUUCAACUCGGUCGGCAGAGGUGAACCAGCAGGACAAUGGAAGUUUAGCAACGACAUCACCAACGCAUAGGUUGUGCUUGGAAUGCUGCUUCCUGUAGCAUCCUCAAGCAGAUCAUAUGGAACAAGAUGAACACACACUGGAAUAAAUUGAGCUCACAUUCUCCGGUUGUAUAAAAAAGCUAAAUAGAGUGUCUCCGCAACAUGAUGCAACUGGAUAUCCUAUAACAUCUGCAGUUGAAAGCACUUCAGGUGCACAGAUACAAUAUUUUUCUUUGUACAAAUUUUACAUUUCUUAAUAGCAUAUUAUUCAGUACACAGACUUUAACUCUUUUUUUUUGGCAAAAGACACAUUUGAUCAUAUUUUAGCACCAACUUUGCAAUUUGACAUAUACUAUCAGCAUGAACAUAAUAUUCACAAUUUUCUUGAGCAGGUGUAGAGGAGAGACAAUAAAUGUUACUAUGGUACCAUGUGUGUAAACUCUAUGUUUCUUUUGCAUCGAACAACAAAUGAUUUUAUUCUAUUGUGAAGUAUUUAUUAUGCCAUUUGGAAGUCACUGCAUUUUUGUUUCGCUCUUGCACUCAUUUGUUGCAGAAAUGUACCUUUCGUAGUCAAAUUGUUAUAGCAUAUUCUCGUAUGUAUAUCAAUGGAUUAGGGUGAUGUGAUAAAUAUAUCUAUUCUAGCUAAUAUGGUCUCUCUUGGUGUAAGCAAAUUGCCUUCUUUGUGUGUCUUCAUCAUAAUGUGCAUGCCCUGAAUUUUUCUGGAUUCUUCUUUUAAGUUUCGUAUGUCAGGAUGUGCAAUCUUUCAGAAAUGUGUUUUUUUUUCAGAGCAAAGAUCAAUAGUGUCGUAGCCUGGGGCUUAGACACCGGGGAUGCGAGGCACCCCCUUUUUGGUUCCGCAGUGGGCGUUGGGGAUCGCUCCGGCGAGGCCAGUGUCAAGCGUGAAGAUGCACAAGACCGUUUUACCCAGGUUUGGGCCACCCUGAGGUGUAAAACCCUACGUCCUGCUUCUGAGCUUGUAUUAGCCAAUUAGCUAGGGUUUACAAGUUGCCGGGGGAGUCCCCGAGCGCUCCCUCCUUUCAUGCUAAGUGCUACUUGCUAUUUCUGGGCUAAAGCUAGUAAGAACCCAACCCUUUGACCGUUGGCGAUGGUCCUCCUUUUAUACUCCAGGAGAUGCCACGGGUGUCUUGGUGCAUGGGUGACAAGUGUUGAGCAAAGACCCUAGGCCCUUGCUGCGCUGGCUUGCAUGCUCGGUACGUAGCGCUGCAACUAGGGCCCUAGAUUCACUGCGGGCCAGUCACUGUGGGCUGACUGGACGGGGAAUUACCUUUCUGUCGGAACAUUAAAUGCUUGUUUGUGCCACACUCCUCGCCCUGACCAACCCUGCGCACAGGGAGCCUGCCGGGCGGCCACGUGGCGUCAAUGCUUUGCCUGCUGGGUACCGUCCCUGUUGUAGGUGCCUGCGCCCGGGAACGCCCUCCCCGGCAAGUGACCUUCCCGGGGGGCGUCCAGGCGGGAAUUCUCUCGUCGCCUUCUAGGGUAACCCCCGCAGCCCGGCUAGCCUUGCCGGGCUGGUGACUCGCCGGGCAGCUUGUGCGGUGCUGCCCAGGGGGCUAUCCUUGCGGGGAGCAGGUGAGGCGACCCACGCGUCAAGCAGCGGUGGUACCCCGGGUGCCACUGGUGCGACAAUAGUCAACUCCUUGUGAGUCAUGCAAAUUUGCCUAAUUUAAUAUAGAAAACACUUCACUUACUCUUUGUUAGCUUCAAAAUAGUUUUGAUUAGGUAAUAGGAUACCGAUAAAAAUGUUAAAAAAUAUUGCCCGCGCAUGUGCGCGGGCCACUCCCCUAGUGUUUCAGAAAAGUAUUAAACGUUUCAAAUAACAUAUCUUUAGCAAAUACAUGUUGAGAGACUAAUAUUCCGUGUUUAGCAUUUGUCUUGUUUGAGUUAAUGUUUAGGUCACUGUCGAGAUUGCCAUUUGAAAAUGCAAGUUGUUCAUCUUCAGUUUCCUUGAACUAGGUUGCUUAAAAAUCUGAAAAUAAUUCACAUGUUUGGCAAAUCAUGCUAUCUCAGAAAAAAUGUCAAACCCAAGUUGCACUUUUGGGUUUGGAGAAAAUGUGAAAACAAAUCUUUCUCUAUUUUCUCCUGACGCCGGUAGCCGGCCUCCCUCUUCUCCGCCGAUUAGCGUACCGGACUCCUUAGCUGCCUUUCUGGAGAAAUGGUCCCCAUGCCGGCAAGGGUGAACUUAGAGCUGCUGGAGUAAAGGAGUCGAGUCCUGUGAAACUUUGAUUCUAUUCGACAGCUUCUACGAUUCCAGGUACUGUGCAUUUCCUUAGUUGCGCCUUCUAGUAGUAAUUCGAUUAGCUGUGCUGGAAUUAUGAGAUAGUGUAUUGAUGGUAUCUGUGGCAGUUCAAAACUUCAAAUUUUAAGAUGGCCAUCUUAUAUAUCUCACAUUGUGCUUAUUAGACGUGUACUUCCAGUGAAUUUCAAGCAUAUGUAUAGCUAGAUAUAUGCCGGUGUUUCUAUUAAAAAAAUGCCGGUGUGGUUUGCUAUUUGCUGUUAGUGCUAAAGGUAUCCAGCCAAUAUAUAUUUGCAGCAGCACAUUGUUUCAAGUCAGUGAAAGUUUGGCUACUUGCAAAUUCAGUGGAUGGUUCAUGCUGCUAGAUAAGUGCCAAUGUGGUUGUCCUUUUCCUGUUAGUGCAAAGGCUCGUGAUUACCUCAUAUCUGUAGCAGACAGUUAGUUGCUGCAAGUGCAAAGCUUUUUAUUUACUUAAAUACGAGCUAGCAAGAAUUAACCCAAUCAAGUAAAGCAUAAGCAUCAGGUUACUAUUAGGCUAUUCCUGGCCCUGUUCCCUAGGUAGAAAUGUUUGUGGCAUUUUCUAUGUAUUUGCCACCGCUAGAAAAGUACUUAUUAAUCAUUACUAGUGUAUUUGCAGCAUUACCUAUACUGUCAGUUGCUGUAAUCUGAUAUGCUAUCAACUCAGCAUUAGAGAAUUUGUAGCGGCAAAGUCAUCUCUGUUUCAACAGUUACUACGUUUUUCUUUAAACAUGUCUACCAUGUUGUACAAAAGUUUUCCAUGUUCUCAUAAGGGGAAAAAAAAAUACUCCCUCCAUUUGUGUAUAUAAGGCGUAUAAAAUCCAGCACCAAUAUUAAAGCAGGCUCAGACUUCAAUCAAUUGCACAACUGAUCUGCUGCGUGCUACAUUUCUAAGCAGCGGCAAUGUAGUUGAAUUUUGUAGUGGUAUCCACCUUCUGCAAUGACCAAUUAUUGCUUAAGUUUCAGAUUUUGUUUUAAAGGCUUAAAUUUCAGAUACUGUACUGUAACUUAUUUGAGAUAGUUAUAUGUGUUAACGGUAAACAUAGUCUUAUUUGAAAUAGUUAAAUUCUGAACUUGUUUUUUUUCUCAGAUGUGCUUGGCUGCUUGGCAAAACUUUUCUAAUGGGCUGAACCAUUCAAGGUCUGCCGGGACGUGCUGAAUAGCACAAAGCGUACAGUUUCUCGGCAAACAGAUCAUCCGAUGAAACUACAGUUUGUAUCAUUCUAGAGUGAAUCAUGUAUUGUACUCUGAUAUGAUCUAUAGUGAAAUGGUUUGAUCCUUUAUAACCAUCAUUUCGGAUUGCUAGAGACGGGUGAUGAACAUAAAGAUUCGAACCACGCCUGCCGUA
Molecule: long non-coding RNA, 10831 nt
Organism: Brachypodium distachyon (stiff brome)
Lineage: Eukaryota; Viridiplantae; Streptophyta; Magnoliopsida; Poales; Poaceae
Exons: 4
Source: RefSeq, a predicted model, not a curated record